This 649-nucleotide ribosomal RNA is filed under the name uncultured bacterium. RNAcentral describes it as "bacterial SSU rRNA". It matches the Rfam family "Bacterial small subunit ribosomal RNA", at positions 746 to 1395 of the family's 1533-position model. The record is from RNAcentral.
CUCAGAUGCGAAAGCGUGGGUAGCAAACAGGAUUAGAUACCCUGGUAGUCCACGCCGUAAACGCUGUCUACUUGGAGGUUGAGGUUUUGGACUUUGGCUUUCGGCGCUAACGCAUUAAGUAGACCGCCUGGGGAGUACGGCCGCAAGGUUAAAACUCAAAUGAAUUGACGGGGGCCCGCACAAGCGGUGGAGCAUGUGGUUUAAUUCGAUGCAACGCGAAGAACCUUACCUACUCUUGACAUCCAGCGAAGCCUUUAGAGAUAGAGGCGUGCCUUCGGGAGCGCUGAGACAGGUGCUGCAUGGCUGUCGUCAGCUCGUGUUGUGAAAUGUUGGGUUAAGUCCCGCAACGAGCGCAACCCUUAUCCUUGUUUGCCAGCACGUAAUGGUGGGAACUCCAGGGAGACUGCCGGUGAUAAACCGGAGGAAGGUGGGGACGACGUCAAGUCAUCAUGGCCCUUACGAGUAGGGCUACACACGUGCUACAAUGGCAGAUACAGAGGGCAGCGAGACAGCGAUGUUUAGCGAAUCCCUUAAAGUUUGUCGUAGUCCGGAUUGGAGUCUGCAACUCGACUCCAUGAAGUCGGAAUCGCUAGUAAUCGUGGAUCAGAAUGCCACGGUGUUACGUUCCCGGGCCUUGUACACACCGCCC